UGGGGAAUCUUGCGCAAUGGGCGAAAGCCUGACGCAGCAACGCCGCGUGCGGGAUGACGGCCUUCGGGUUGUAAACCGCUUUCAGCAGGGACGAAAUUGACGGUACCUGCAGAAGAAGCCCCGGCCAACUACGUGCCAGCAGCCGCGGUAAUACGUAGGGGGCGAGCGUUGUCCGGAUUCAUUGGGCGUAAAGCGCUUUAAGGCGGUUCGCUAAGUCGCGUGUGAAACCUCCAGGCUCAACCUGGAGACGCCACGCGAUACUGGCGUGACUAGAGUUCGGUAGGGGAUCACGGAAUUCCUGGUGUAGCGGUGAAAUGCGCAGAUAUCAGGAGGAACACCGGUGGCGAAGGCGGUGAUCUGGGCCGACACUGACGCUGUAGAGCGAAAGCGUGGGGAGCGAACAGGAUUAGAUACCCUGGUAGUCCACGCCGUAAACGUUGGGCACUAGGUGUGGGGGAUUAUCAACGUCCUCCGUGCCGUAGCUAACGCAUUAAGUGCCCCGCCUGGGGAGUACGGCCGCAAGGCUAA
RNAcentral lists this ribosomal RNA (528 nucleotides) under uncultured Acidimicrobiales bacterium. RNAcentral's name for it is "bacterial SSU rRNA". It matches the Rfam family "Bacterial small subunit ribosomal RNA", at positions 355 to 897 of the family's 1533-position model. Lineage: Bacteria; Bacillati; Actinomycetota; Acidimicrobiia; Acidimicrobiales. The record is from RNAcentral.